CAUCCCCUCGUGCCUAAUCUUCUUUCCCCUCCCUCGUUAACCUACUUAUGGUGAAACACCAAAAAUCCUUCCACCUCAAAACCGCCACACACCAAACCCCAAGCACUGCCAAAACAUUCCCCCAAACAGCCCCAACAUAGACCUCCAAAUAACCCCAGAGACCCCUUGUUAAUUAUCCCUCAUCAUCGAGAGGGAAGCGAAGACACAAGAUGCACAAGUAGGAUUUGGGUUGGAAUGACCACUACCAAUAAUGCCAUUGCCAAUGAGGAUGGGAGGGAAGACAAUAUGAAUAAUAGGGGUACAGGUAAUGGUAAUGUAUUUAACAAAACUUCCAAGUUACAAUGCGAACAAUAAUAAUAAAACCACUUCAUAGAGACAAAUAGAGAACAUAUAGUACAUGACUUAAUGGGGAAGUGGUGUACAGAAUUGUGGUCCAACUUAAAUGUUGCCAAAAGGCCAAGAGGCUAGAAGCACAGACAUGGACAUUAACAUAGAUAUAAAGAAUAAACGGGUUGGGGCUGUUUAGGGUUGUUUGGUGCUGUUUUGACACUGCUUGGGGUUUGGCGCGGUGGACCUAGUGGCGGAGGGGUUUUUGCGUUUUGGAAAACUAUCGCUAUUACUAAAUCAAUUACAAUUAAAAUAUGAGGGUUAACUUUGUCUAAAACUCUUGGUGCACAAUGCUAACAUAAAACUAAAAAAAUUCCUUUACCUAGGUUAGAAAAACCCAAAGAUUAUUCUUCUAUUCAACACUGCCCUUGAAUCAUGAGAAGCAAUCUUCCCGUAUAGUUGAUCUUAUAGAUCUUCUCAUGAACGGUAAUCACUGCUUGAGAGUGUUGAGGUUGAUCUCAUGGAAGAAUAACAUAUAAUGUUGCUGGCUGAGAAGAAUUUUGUUUGGGGACAGAUUCAACCAUUUCAUCAGGAACGUGACCUUCAACAUGAUGAGCUUCAUUCUCGGAAGCAACAAAGAUGCAUAGUGAUGUAGGGGCGGACAUAUCUAGUUGCCAAUAGAUAUUUUCUUCAUUAUGGAUAUGACUAAUAAGGGGCACACCUAGGAUAUAUCUGUAUAGAAAAUGUUUGAACUGAAAAAAGUCAAAGUUGCCUCUAAUAAUUAGAGUGUUCUUCUUAGCUCUAGCAGAUAAAUCGGAUGAUGAAGCUUCCUUGCAACAAGUUCUCAAGUGAGUCUCCCAUAUAACAGCAACUCCAUUAUCAUUUAUCUCUUCAGUGGGCUACUGCAUCAUAAACUCAGCCAUCUUAGUAUCCGUUGGGGGAUCAGGUAUCGUAUCCAGCAAGCAAGGGUUGCAUGUUUGGCUCUUCAUUGAGCUCAUAUUCCUUUUAGAAUCUUUGUCCUUAGUCAAGUCUAGCAUUGGCAGCCUAGGACAUAUCCUUUUAGGAAACAUACCUUCUUUUGUUCAAGUUGUAUGAUGUAGCCAUAAGGUAGGAAUAAAGUUGACAGUCCUGAAUGCUCUAGAUAAUUCAAACUUUGCCUUGAGAUAAGCAUACAUAAAUAAGUCUCCAAUCUCAUCACCUUCUCCAUUUGUGCAAGGAUGUACAAAUUGCUCUGACUUCAACUCGUUAUCAAUGAAUAGAGUCUCAUUUCCAUAGGUUCUCGGCCUCUGAUACUCAACUUUAUCAUACUCAGCUUUCACAAGCAUUGUUGUCCACAUAAGGAUUACAUGCCUAGAAACUCCAACAAUGUGAGGGGUAAAGGGUGGAAACUUCACAAGGUUUGGAUAGGUUUUGGUUGGUGGUAAGAUUUCUUGGGUAGGUGAGUUAGCAUUGGUCCAUGUUCAUUGAACAUUUCAUGGGUAAGGGGACAUUCUCCUUCAUAUUAAAUUUCCAUGAUCCAUGCAUAUAUGGUAGGUCUAGGUUCGAUUUCA
RNAcentral lists this long non-coding RNA (1877 nucleotides) under Lupinus angustifolius (narrow-leaved blue lupine). Its description in RNAcentral is "long non-coding RNA (LANG_LNC002792)". Lineage: Eukaryota; Viridiplantae; Streptophyta; Magnoliopsida; Fabales; Fabaceae. The record is from RNAcentral.